This 484-nucleotide ribosomal RNA is filed under the name uncultured bacterium. Its description in RNAcentral is "partial 16S ribosomal RNA". It matches the Rfam family "Bacterial small subunit ribosomal RNA", at positions 30 to 507 of the family's 1533-position model. The record is from RNAcentral.
AUUGAACGCUAGCGGGAUGCCUUACACAUGCGAGUCGAACGGCAGCACGGACUUCGGUCUGGUGGCGAGUGGCGAACGGGUGAGUAAUGUAUCGGAACGUGCCCAGUAGCGGGGGAUAACUACGCGAAAGCGUAGCUAAUACCGCAUACGCCCUACGGGGGAAAGCAGGGGAUCGCAAGACCUUGCACUAUUGGAGCGGCCGAUAUCGGAUUAGCUAGUUGGUGGGGUAACGGCUCACCAAGGCGACGAUCCGUAGCUGGUUUGAGAGGACGACCAGCCACACUGGGACUGAGACACGGCCCAGACUCCUACGGGAGGCAGCAGUGGGGAAUUUUGGACAAUGGGGGAAACCCUGAUCCAGCCAUCCCGCGUGUGCGAUGAAGGCCUUCGGGUUGUAAAGCACUUUUGGCAGGAAAGAAACGUCGCGGGUUAAUACCUCGCGAAACUGACGGUACCUGCAGAAUAAGCACCGGCUAACUACGUG